GAUGAACGCUGGCGGCGUGCCUAAUACAUGCAAGUCGAGCGAACGGACGAGAAGCUUGCUUCUCUGUUGUUAGCGGCGGACGGGUGAGUAACACGAGGCUAACCUACCUAUACGACUGGGAUAACUUCGGGAAACCGGCGCUAAUACCGCAUAAUACUUUGAUCCGCAUGGUUCAAAAGUGAAAGACGGUCUUGCUGUCACAUAUAGAUGGAUCCGCGCUGCAUUAGCUAGUUGGUAAGGUAACGGCUUACCAAGGCAACGAUGCAUAGCCGACCUGAGAGGGUGAUCGGCCACACGGGAACUGAGACACGGUCCAGACUACUACGGGAGGCAGCAGUAGGGAAUCGUCAGCAAUGCGCGAAAGCCUGACGGUGCAACGGCGCGUGAGGGAGGAAGGUCUCCGGAUCGUAAAACUCUGUUAGUAGGGAAGAACAUAUGUGUAAGUAACUGUGCACAUCUUGACGGUACCUAAUCAGAAAGCCACGGCUAACUACGUG
RNAcentral lists this ribosomal RNA (497 nucleotides) under uncultured bacterium. Its description in RNAcentral is "partial 16S ribosomal RNA". It matches the Rfam family "Bacterial small subunit ribosomal RNA", at positions 28 to 507 of the family's 1533-position model. The record is from RNAcentral.